RNAcentral lists this ribosomal RNA (600 nucleotides) under uncultured Gammaproteobacteria bacterium. RNAcentral's name for it is "bacterial SSU rRNA". It matches the Rfam family "Bacterial small subunit ribosomal RNA", at positions 54 to 639 of the family's 1533-position model. The record is from RNAcentral. Lineage: Bacteria; Pseudomonadati; Pseudomonadota; Gammaproteobacteria.
CAUGCAAGUCGAGCGGUCAAAAUGAGGGGGCUUGCCCCUGAAAGACGAGCGGCGGACGGGUGAGUAAUGCGCGGGAACGCGCCCUUUGGAGGGGGACAACCUUGGGAAACCAGGGCUAAUACCGCAUAACCUCCACGGAGCAAAGCGGGGGAUUUCUUCGGAAACCUCGCGCCAAAGGAGCGGCCCGCGUCCGAUUAGUUUGACGGCGGGGUAACAGCCCACCGUGACUACCAUCGGUAGCUGGUCUGAGAGGAUGAUCAGCCACACCGGGACUGAGACACGGCCCGGACUCCUACGGGAGGCAGCAGUGGGGAAUAUUGGACAAUGGGGGCAACCCUGAUCCAGCGAUGCCGUGUGUGUGAAGAAGGCCUUCGGGUUGUAAAGCACUUUCGCAGGGGAAGAAACGGUGCGCUCUAACAUAGCGCGCAACUGACGGUACCCUGAAAAGAAGCGCCGGCUAAUUCCGUGCCAGCAGCCGCGGUAAUACGGAAGGCGCAAGCGUUAAUCGGAAUGACUGGGCGUAAAGCGUGCGCAGGCGGCCGCGCAAGUCGGAUGUGAAAGCCCCGGGCUCAACCCGGGAAUGGCGUUCGAAACUGCGCG